RNAcentral lists this long non-coding RNA (283 nucleotides) under Nicotiana benthamiana. Its description in RNAcentral is "long non-coding RNA (NBEN_LNC014839)". The record is from RNAcentral. Lineage: Eukaryota; Viridiplantae; Streptophyta; Magnoliopsida; Solanales; Solanaceae.
CUUUGCAAAUGGAUAAUAUUUUGCACCUCUUUUUCACAAAUAGAGGUAUGUGGAUCAAGAUGAGAUAAUGAUGGAUUUUUCCACAAAAUUUCCCGUUUGUUUCACCAACUUCUCCCCCUAAUUUUGGGAAAAGUGUCUCAUCGAAUCGACAUACUGCAAAUCGUGCAGUGAACAAAGUCCCUGUCAAUGUUUCGAGGUAGUGAAUAAUGGAGGGCGAUUCAAACCCAACAAAUAUUCCUAACCUUCUUUGCGGACCCAUAUUGGUGCGAUAUGGCGGUGCGAU